Molecule: transfer RNA, 77 nt
Filed under: Alphaproteobacteria bacterium
Lineage: Bacteria; Pseudomonadati; Pseudomonadota; Alphaproteobacteria
Also listed under: 3 other names
Description: tRNA-Met
Rfam family: tRNA
About the family: Transfer RNA (tRNA) molecules are approximately 80 nucleotides in length. Their secondary structure includes four short double-helical elements and three loops (D, anti-codon, and T loops). Further hydrogen bonds mediate the characteristic L-shaped molecular structure. tRNAs have two regions of fundamental functional importance: the anti-codon, which is responsible for specific mRNA codon recognition, and the 3' end, to which the tRNAs corresponding amino acid is attached (by aminoacyl-tRNA synthetases). tRNAs cope with the degeneracy of the genetic code in two manners: having more than one tRNA (with a specific anti-codon) for a particular amino acid; and 'wobble' base-pairing, i.e. permitting non-standard base-pairing at the 3rd anti-codon position.
Source: RNAcentral
GGCGGGGUAGCUCAGCUGGUUAGAGCGCAGGACUCAUAAUCCUGAGGUCGAGGGUUCGAGUCCCUCCCCCGCUACCA